GUGAGGAAUCUUGCGCAAUGGGGGCAACCCUGACGCAGCGACGCCGCGUGCGGGAAGAAGGCCUUCGGGUCGUAAACCGCUUUUCUGGAGGACGAGGAAGGACGGUACUCCAGGAAUAAGUCCCGGCUAACUACGUGCCAGCAGCCGCGGUAAAACGUAGGGGGCGAGCGUUAUCCGGAAUUACUGGGCGUAAAGGGCAUCUAGGCGGCAAUCUAAGUCCUGCGUGAAAGCUCCCGGCUCAACUGGGAGAGCGCGUGGGAGACUGGGUAGCUAGAGACACGGAGAGGGGUGUGGAAUUCCCGGUGGAGUGGUGAAAUGCGUUGAGAUCGGGAGGAACACCAGUGGCGAAGGCGGCACCCUGGCCGAGGUCUGACGCUGAAGUGCGACAGCGUGGGGAGCAAACGGGAUUAGAUACCCCAGUAGUCC
This 426-nucleotide ribosomal RNA is filed under the name uncultured bacterium. RNAcentral describes it as "bacterial SSU rRNA". It matches the Rfam family "Bacterial small subunit ribosomal RNA", at positions 354 to 796 of the family's 1533-position model. The record is from RNAcentral.